AAAAUUUUAAUGGCCGCAGUAAUUUGACUGUGCAAAGGUAGCAUAAUCAUUAGUUUUUUAAUUGAAAGCUUGUAUGAAUGAUUGGACGAGAUAAAUUCUGUCUUUAGAUAAUAAAUAGAAUUUAAUUUUUGAGUUAAAAAGCUUAAAUUUAAAUAAAAGACGAGAAGACCCUAUAGAUCUUUAUUAAAUUUAAAUUAUUAUUAUUUAAGAUUAUUUUAUUUAUUAAUUUUGGUUUAAUUUUAUUGGGGUAAUAAGAAGAUUAAAAAAAUUCUUUUAUAUUGUUACAAAAAUUAUUGAUUUUAAGAUCCUAAAAUUUAGAUUAUAAGAUUAAGUUACCUUAGGGAUAACAGCGUAAUUUCUUUAGAGAGUUCAUAUUGAUAAAGAUGUUUGCGACCUCGAUGUUGGAUUAAAAGUUAUUUUAGGUGCAGUAGUUUAAAAUUUUGGUCUGUUCGACCAUUAAACUUUU
This 466-nucleotide ribosomal RNA is filed under the name Sternopriscus alpinus. Its description in RNAcentral is "partial 16S ribosomal RNA". The stretch from base 343 to 466 matches the Rfam family "Bacterial large subunit ribosomal RNA", at positions 2473 to 2597 of the family's 2925-position model. The record is from RNAcentral. Lineage: Eukaryota; Metazoa; Arthropoda; Insecta; Coleoptera; Dytiscidae.